AACGAACGCUGGCGGCAGGCCUAACACAUGCCAGUCGAGCGGACCUUUCGGGGUCAGCGGCGGACGGGUGAGUAACGCGUGGGAAUAUGCCCUUCUCUACGGAAUAGUCCUGGGAAACUGGGGGUAAUACCGUAUACGCCCUUUGGGGGAAAGAUUUAUCGGGGGAGGAUUAGCCCGCGUUGGAUUAGGUAGUUGGUGGGGUAAUGGCCUACCAAGCCGACGAUCCAUAGCUGGUUUGAGAGGAUGAUCAGCCACACUGGGACUGAGACACGGCCCAGACUCCUACGGGAGGCAGCAGUGGGGAAUCUUAGACAAUGGGGGCAACCCUGAUCUAGCCAUGCCGCGUGAGUGAUGAAGGCCUUAGGGUUGUAAAGCUCUUUCAGCUGGGAAGAUAAUGACGGUACCAGCAGAAGAAGCCCCGGCUAACUCCGUG
Molecule: ribosomal RNA, 433 nt
Filed under: uncultured bacterium
Lineage: Bacteria
Description: partial 16S ribosomal RNA
Rfam family: Bacterial small subunit ribosomal RNA
Source: RNAcentral